UCAAAGGAAUUGACGGGGACCCGCACAAGCGGUGGAGCAUGUGGUUUAAUUCGAAGCAACGCGAAGAACCUUACCAAAUCUUGACAUCCUUUGACCGCUCUAGAGAUAGAGUUUUCCCCUUCGGGGGACAAAGUGACAGGUGGUGCAUGGUUGUCGUCAGCUCGUGUCGUGAGAUGUUGGGUUAAGUCCCGCAACGAGCGCAACCCUUAAGCUUAGUUGCCAUCAUUAAGUUGGGCACUCUAAGUUGACUGCCGGUGACAAACCGGAGGAAGGUGGGGAUGACGUCAAAUCAUCAUGCCCCUUAUGAUUUGGGCUACACACGUGCUACAAUGGACAAUACAAAGGGCAGCUAAACCGCGAGGUCAAGCAAAUCCCAUAAAGUUGUUCUCAGUUCGGAUUGUAGUCUGCAACUCGACUACAUGAAGCUGGAAUCGCUAGUAAUCGUAGAUCAGCAUGCUACGGUGAAUACGUUCCCGGGUCUUGUACACACCGCCCGUCACACCACGAGAGUUUGUAACACCCGAAGCCGGUGGAGUAACCAUUUAUGGAGCUAGCCGUCGAAGGUGGGACAAA
RNAcentral lists this ribosomal RNA (573 nucleotides) under Staphylococcus pasteuri. RNAcentral describes it as "bacterial SSU rRNA". It matches the Rfam family "Bacterial small subunit ribosomal RNA", at positions 901 to 1471 of the family's 1533-position model. The record is from RNAcentral. Lineage: Bacteria; Bacillati; Bacillota; Bacilli; Caryophanales; Staphylococcaceae.